RNAcentral lists this long non-coding RNA (7145 nucleotides) under Homo sapiens (human). RNAcentral describes it as "non-protein coding lnc-U2SURP-3:8". The record is from RNAcentral. Lineage: Eukaryota; Metazoa; Chordata; Mammalia; Primates; Hominidae.
CAAAAUGCUACUAAAAUGACAGCAAAGAAGCCAAAAAGGCCCAAGUCCACAAGACAGAAAGAAUAGGUGAAAAGUCCAUGUCAUCUCAUUUUUGGAGAUGGACAUGGACAGGGGCUGAAACUGCAGUACCAGCAGAUGGGGAGCUUAAGAAGGAAGCUAGUUCAUGGCACAGCACCCGUAAAGUCCCCAGAAUUGGAGGCACCAGAUUCUUCUGAAAGAAAAGGGAGCAAUUCAGCACUUGUCAUGCAGAUAAGAGGUCAACACCCCAGGACGGAGUGAAAACCUAAGGUUUGUAUUUUUGAUACACAAAGUGCUCUUUUGGAGGAAACCAAAAAAUGUCGAGUUUCUGGCAAGGUAUGGAAACAGGACAGAAGGAGACCAGAGUCGAAGCACCAGAGGGCAUAGAUGUGGAAAGUGGUCCUAGUUAGGAGCUGUUGCCCAGGAAAUGUUGAGGGCACAAGCUGUAAGCAGGACCACAGUGAAGACAGCUAGUGUCAAAAGCCCUGCCAAGCCAGUCCUUCACAAGGGCUGUCCAGCCUUUAGCAUGGGGGACUCAGCAUGGCAGGCCUGUACCUAGUAAAAUUUCUGUCUUCCCAGUGGUGACAAUCGGCUCCUUCCGCACCUGUAAGAGCAAAUUUGGUUCUGCCACUGUCUGAUUGCCUGGUGCUCACAGUUCACUUCCCUGUCAAGCCAGGUCAUCCUAAUACCAGAGAGGACUUCACUUCUCCCUAGCAAUGACCAAUUCUGUGAAACUGAUUACUCCAAACUGUAUGUAUAGACUUAGCAAUGAGGAAAGGCUUUGCCAGAUCAUCUUUUAAAACUAAACCUCAACUUCGAUGUGCUCUCUGUGCUCCAACCACACCUGUCUUUUUCCUUGUUCCUCAAUGGUGUCAUGUUUCUGUUACAGGGUCUUAGCAUAAGCUAUUUCUUCUGCCUGGAGGGCGCAUCCCCCAACCAUCACAUGACUGGCCACAUUGCUCAGACUUUAGCCUAGAUGUCACCUCUUCAGAGAAGCCUUCUCUGACCACCUUAUUUAAUGUUGAUCACUCCACCUGCAGCCCAAACACCAGCUAAUAAAUUCCCUCCUACUCCUCCAUCGUUUCUUUAAUUUUUAUGCCUCAUGUGAAAAGUAUCGAGUCAAUCACAUACUUCAGUUCAUGGUAUAAUAUUAUUACAUUUCUUUCGUGGAUAUUUUCCCCAUUCAUCCCUGGUUUCCAUUUCCGUUACCUCUCCUUUCACAUAUUCAUUCACUAUAAGGCAUUACAUAUAUAUCCUUGUCUAAAAAUGUAAUAUUGUCAAAUGUAAGUUAUUAUUUGGUAUAUCAUAUGUUUCACAAAUAGUAUUGUGCAAUAGACCUUGCUCUAGUUAUUAUGUUUUGUAUUCACCAGUGUGUUCUAAAGACCCAUCUGUAUCUGUUAUAUAUGUAGGUACACUUGGUUCAUUGCUUCUAACUGAUCCUUGGUAUCCCGUAGUGUGCAUUCAUCCCUGCUCUGGAUACAGUCAGCUCCCAAAUUCCAUAAACAACUCCUUUGUAAGUAACCUCCUUUUGACAGGGGGUAGAAUUGCUCAGGGUCCAGAUGCUCCCAUUAUUAUCUGUUCCUCACCCUGGCCAGGCUGUGGCACUGCCCUGAUAUUAUCCCAUCACCUCCGUGUAGCAGAUAUUUUGUCUCAAGGUGGUUCCAGGCCAGGCGAUUAUCUGCCAAGGACAGUGGUUAGAGAGAGGAAACAGCCUGCAACUCUGCCUGCACCAUGUCCUAACAGUGACUUUCUCUGCUCAGCCUAUGGUUUACCCACAGCAGGUCACAGCCACCCUUUCUCUCUGCCCAGUGGUUUCUUAUGGUUUUUACCUAGAUUUACGUCGACUUGCAGAUCAGUACACUCCUCUCCUGCUUCUGAGGCAACAUCAGGGUUGGAAUUUGUGGAGUUCCUUAUAGUCUUCAUAAUGCUAAUCACUACCUGAAAUUAUCAUCUUUUUAAUUGGUUUACUUGCUUAUUGUCUGUCUCCCUCACUGUAAGACUGUAAAUGCCACAUGAGCAAGGACCUUAUCUGAACACCUUCCUAGGUUUGGGGAUAUCCCACCACAUGCAUACCACUGAGGGGCAGAGAUGCCUUCCAGUGUAGAAACAGCUAGGACCAUAUAGUCACAGCCCCAGGCAGCUUCACAGCUAAGGCACGGGCAUUCCUUCUCUAUUUGGCCAUCAGACCGACCUGUGAAUCCCAAGUUGGAGAAAUGAAGUCACCAAGGCAGUGGAGAAUUCAGUGGUCGGGGCAGCUGUAGUGGCAGCAGUAGUGCCUGUGGCAACAGUUUCAGGAGUAGCAGUUGGUAUCCUGCCUCCAAAGACAGAAUGUAGGUCCACCAGCAGCACCGCCUUUACCAGACUGGUACUAGGACCUAAUUUUGGAAGUGGUUCUUCCUAUCGAGACUUUGGGCUACCUAAUAUCCUUUCAACAAAUUUGUUAUUUCCUAAAUCAGUCAGAAUCAACUUUUAGUGUGUAAACUGAGAACCCUCAGUAGAACUAUUAGCCACAAUGUCCGCUUUUAUUGUCUAAGUCCAUUUGAGCUGAACUUUCUGUAACUUGAAGACAGAAGCUCCCUAACUCAGGGGUCCUCAACUCCCAGGCCACACAGCAGGAGGUCAGCAGUGGGCUGGCUAGCAGGGGAGGCUUCAUCUGUAUUUACAGCCGCUUCCCAUCACUCGCAUCACCGCCUGAGCUCUGCUUCCUUCAGAUCAGCAGUGGCAUUACAUUCUCAUAGGAGUGGGAACCCUAUUGUGAACUGUGCUUGUGAAGGAUCUAGGUUGUGUGCUCCUUAUGAGAAUCAAUGAAUCAUCCCCAAACCAUCCCCCACCCUUAUCCUGUCCAUGGAAAAAUUGUCUUCCACGAAACCAGUCCCUGGUGCCAGAAAGAUUGGGACAACUGCCCUAACUGAUGUAAGAGUAUGGGCAAUAAGUGUUUUCAGUGCACUGAGUGAUUAAAGAUUGUUGGGGCAGGGUGUGUGCAAGUUGAACUUAGCUCAGUGCAUCCACUGGCAAGGAGGUGGUAGCAGGAAAUAGGCAUGUGGUGACUUCAGUAACAGAGACGACUGCAGGGCUGACCUAAGCUUAGUAGCCUGGCUUCUCCGGGAGCUGAGGGUGAGCAUCAUGCCUGCUCCAUCUCCCUCUUUGUUGUGGAUAAGGCAGGUAGGAAGAAUGACGGAUUGCCUUACCCUUUCUAAUUGUUGUGUGCUCUCCAUACCCCACCCAAUCCUACUUCAACAUUGUCACCUAAGGAUUCACAAACCCACCCUUGUGCGAAUCCAGCCGUCUGUGUUCUAGACUGGCAAGGACCAUAUCUGAUUCUGAGAUGCUCAGGAAGGUGUGCUCCCAAUUGGCCCUUGUCCAGACUAGUUUACUUGCUGAGUAUCCCCAGGGCACAGGAACAAUCAUUUGGGGUUGCGGCUUUGUUCAUAGGGUCAUCAAGACAGGAGGAUAUGAGGCAGAAUCACCACACAAGGUAAGAGUACAUUUAGAAAUUCUCUUGAGUAAAUAAUACUGGCUUUAUCACUAUGCUUAUUUCUGUGUUUCUACUUGCUCUCAGAGUAUUUUGUAUUUUGUAUAUAAGUCCAAUAUCGAAAACACCCAUCCUGCCACUACAAGAAAAGUUUUGCCCAAGAAUGAACCAACGUAGAGAAAAACAGAGCUAAGACAAACCAAGGCUAACUGCUGAUUUAAGUCCCUAGAUCCAGCUAUUCUUGAAGCCUUCUCAGUUACACAAACCAAUAAUACUUACUUUUUUUACUUAAACUAUUUUCUGUUUCCAUUACUUACAACCAAAAUAGUCCUGAUUAAUACAUAGAAUAAUGUGAAUUUUUAUUUUUAUUCUGAUUUUUAUUCUGACUUUAUAAAAAAGAACUUUUACAAUUAUCCAUUAUGCUUGGAUAAAUGCGUGUGUAAAUAUUUGUUUGGGGUGGAGGAUGUACACUGAAAUGUUAACAUUAGAUUUCUGCGGAGGAUGAGUUGGAAGGAAUGAAGGAGACAUUAAUAUCUUUUUCUGGCAGGGCACGGUGGCUCACACCUGUAAUCCCAGCAUUUUGGAAGGUGGAGGUGGGCGGAUCACCUGAGGAAAAAAAUCUUUUUCUUUGUCACCUAUGCAAUGUUUGACCUGCAAGUGCUUGUAUCUUUUGUAAUUGUUUAAAUCCCUCAAAAUUUUAAAUGAGUAUUGAAUAUAUUUUGUGUUUUUCCAAAUAUAAGAUUCUAUAAAGAAGAGAAUGAUGUAAGUGACCCGGGGGCAAUGGGGGGAGCUUAAAUUUGAAACUAGAAAAAAUUUUGAACAAAAUAAUCAUAAUUGUUAGCUGAUGAAAAACUAGAAAAUAUUUUCUGAGUAAAUUCUUGAUUUCAGAAAUUAACUAUAAUUUAUAUUGCUCUUAAUAUCUUACCCUUGAAUAUAAAUGAUUAAUGCCCUUUAAAAUGUCCUUUUUUCUAGCUAACCUGAUGUACAUAUGACAUUAAUCCAAUAGACUUAGGAAUAAGAUACAGGGGGUUUUCCUGAAUGAUUCGAGUAUAUCCCCAUUCAUAUUAAGAAAACAAAGUAUUGGCCAAGCGUGGUGGCUCACGCCUGUAAUCCCGGCACUUUGGAAGGCCGAGGCCAGUGGAUCACCUGAGGUAAGGAUCACUAAGACCAGCCUGUCCAAUAUGGUAGAUUAAGUGAAGUGACUCCAAACCUAAAAUCCUAUAAUUACGGAAUGUCUGUUUAGAUUGGUGCUUGGUCUUCUUUUUCCCUCUUCUAGAUUGGGAAGAGAGCUUUCUGAACUGCAAAUUAGGAAGGCCUUGGCUUGUUUGUCUGUGGUAAAGCAAACAGAUUUGAAGAGGACAUCUAUUUAGCUACCAUUUGUUUUGUUUAAUCUGAGAUUAGGCCUAGGUUUGCAAAAGAAAUCUACUAAAUUUAGAGUAAACAGAAUUCUUUAAGGCAGCAUUGCUUGAUGGUAUUUUCUUCUUAUAGCCUCUUCUGAGUGGUUUGUGAUUAAGGGAUAAAAAAGUGACUAUUUUAAGCUCUGAAAAAUGUGAGUACACAGUUUUGGAGGAAAUAGAAGGUAAAUUGAUCAAAUAAUUUACUAGGGAACCUCAAAAUGGUAGCAUAUGAUCUUUAAAUGAUUUUUUUUUAAACUUGUAAUAAUUCCUUUGAAGAUCUACUGGCUGUUUUUAACCACUGACCAUCACCUAAGGGAAGACCAUGUGACUCGUUACUAUAAUGGCCUGCAUAAAAAACAAAAACAAAACAAAAAAACCCUCAGGGAAGAGAAGACUUACAACUAUGACCUCAUUUCUAAUUGGACUGUGGUGAAAAAGAAACUAGUCAUAGCUGAAACUAGGGGCCAGGAGGGCUGCUUGCCUCUCCUGGGCAACCUGUAGUUGGCGAAACUUUAACUCUACGUAUAAAGAGACCAUUUUUUACAGCGAGUUUGGGGUAAAUUGUGUAAAGUCUCAAAGGGACCUAAUACAGGACAUUUCCUACAUUCCGAAUUUGACACUUUAAGGAAGACUGCGAUAGGUAAUGUGACCUUCCACCUUAGAGAUAGUAUCAUUCAUUAAUGAAGGGUAUUUAGUUUUGUUUUUAUAACUCCAAUAAAUUUAAGAAAUGUCUUGGUGGUCCUUGAAAGUGGAAAAACAUAUUUAUAUGCCAUAUUUUUCUUCCUGCUGCUCUGUCUUCUUGGAGAGCCUGCCUGGAGCAACCAGGUAAGUUGAAAGGAGUAAGGACUUGGGGCCAGGCAGCCAGACAGACGUGCGUUCACAUUUCAGCAUUCACAUUCAUGAAUUCAGUAGUUCAGUAGUUCACUAGUUCAGUCAGAGACUGGAUGAGUGUGAGCGUGAAACUUAUGCUCCCUGUUUCCCCAGAUGUUAAGUGAAAUCAAUAAUAAUUACAUUGAGGAGAUGUGAAAAUAAUGAAGUAACAUAUGCAGAGUGCCUAGUUCAUAGUAGAUGCUUGAAAAUGAUGCUGUCCUUCCUCUUUCCCUUCUGUCUGCCAUCCUUCAGAUGGACUCAACGACUCUCUUACCGUCCAGCUCUCAAGUCCCUUCUCUUGUGAAAAUGGAAAAGUUGAACUACAGUUGAGAUAUUAUUCCCAGGUGUUCUUUGGAACACAGGGGAUUUCUCCAAAAGGCACAGAACAAAUUGCCUCCAAACAGCCAAGAUUCCAGCAGAAGCUGGAGUAGCAGACUACUUGGAUCUUCAAAGUACCUGGCCCUGAGUCAGUUAAGGAAGAUCUUUUCUUCUCUUUUGUACAAUCCUAUGAUGAGAGCUGCAAAGUGAACUGACUAAGAGCUUCUGCCUUGAUCAUUGACCUCCCAAUCCUAAUAAUAUGUUCACUGGCCAAACUUCCUAAUCGAUUUGUCUUUUGGAUAUAACGUUCCUCCUACUGUUUGCCUGAUUGAGAAAUCUGCUACAGAACAUGACCGGUUAGCAUUCCCACCAACCCCAGUGCUACACUGACUGUCUUUCGAUGGACUUUGCUCCUUGCUGCCUCUCUGAGGUCCCAGACCUUCAGAGUGACCUUCACAGCUCUGCCUAACUUUCUGUCAUACUUCUAUCAAGAGAGACAGCUAAAUCAAUAUUUUUAAUGUGCUUUGCUGUCGGAAUUCGAUGAUCUGUCACAGUUCUUGCCCAAUACACCCCAUCAUUAUUGUUAAAAUGUUUUUAGCUUUGUUUGUAGAAUUGCUUUAACUGGUUUCAUCUCUGGGAGCUACACUUUGAAAUAUAACUUUAGCAACAUUUUACUAUACUUUUUCACAACCCAGAGCAGUACUAUUUUAUGCUUAGUGGUUAAACUAAUUCCAUAAAUCUUUUGCAACUAUCCUCUAUUCUUUUUCUUGUAAUUUUUACCUGGGAAGGUUUUUACUGAUAAUCAUCCUAUCCUGAGUCAUCCCACAAACCAAUCUGUCUCACUAAUCAUUGCUUCUAACCUACAGACUAAGCAUAACUUCUGCUAAAUGAUCUUUGAUAAGAUGCUAUGACUCUAUAAAGUCUUUGAUAUUCAUGUCUAAAUUUAAUCACUUGUAGAUUUUCAUAGAAUCAAUCUUUCACUUCUACAAUUGGGAGUAUUUAUAAGUUGUUUAUCUUAAACAGUUCCUCUAUCACGCUUUUCACGUUAAAUAAAGCAAUCCCUUCAAAUC